This 849-nucleotide long non-coding RNA is filed under the name Anas platyrhynchos platyrhynchos (common mallard). RNAcentral describes it as "lncRNA (ENSAPLG00000028875.1)". Lineage: Eukaryota; Metazoa; Chordata; Aves; Anseriformes; Anatidae. The record is from RNAcentral.
GACAGCUAUGGGAGCUGCAUAAAGCUGCUCAAGGGACAUCCUGAGCAGUUACUUUGCCUGGGGUGGCCACCGUCCCUUUCACAGCCUCAUGGCAAACCGGGAAGUCUUGCUAAAAGAAUGAUCCAGGACUACAUCCCUCUAAUUGCUUGGCUGAGUGUGAUCCCAUGGAUUGAACCCCCAACAGUGGCUGGAGAUCACAAGGUGAACUUCUAUCACAUAUAAGAUUAAUUUAAUCUGAAAGGAAUCCAGAGGGUGUGCUCUAAAACCAUUCUGCAAAGUGAAGCAAACAGAUCAGGAGAUCUACUUCAAAAGUAUACUCUCGAUCUGAAUCAAAACACUGGUGUAAACACACCUUCUGUCUUUGUAGACUAAACCUACCACAACUGUAUAGAUACAGAGAAACCAAAAUUACUCUUGCCAUACUCUGAAUGGGUCAAAUGUGACCCAGCUGUGUCAUGGGGGUAGAGUGCUGUGAUCUGGCUAGUAUUCUCUAAGAACAGCUUAAACCUCUACAUUUUUACGUAGUCUUGUUCCCAGUCUCCUUUCCUAAUAUAAAAGCUAUUCCCCAUAUCAAACUGGGAGUGAUUUUCCUGGCCUGCACCAGUUUGAAUAUGUCUUUUUGGAACAGGGAGAAACAGAACUGGAUGUGUAACUCCAGCAGAGGCCAGUGUUUGGAGCUCAUCAUUUAGAUUCUGCAAAUGCUCAUAGACAUCACUACAUCAGUUACAGGCAGUUCCCAUUUCAAGGCUAUUUCAGCAAUUGUAUCAGAUAGAAAUUUAGCCAUCAGCUACAAAUAAGACAGGCAGACACUGCAGACCUAGAAUAAAAGAAUUAUAGUGUUCUGUACCA